AGGUAGUAAUAAUAUUUUAAACCUAUAUAUAAUGGCGGCAAUUAAUCUAAUUAGAGGAACAUGUUUUAUAACCGAUAAUCCACGUUAUUUUUCACUUUUACUUAAAGUUUAUAUAUCUCCAUCUUAAGAAAUAAUUUUAUAAUUCUAUUCAUAAUAAUAAUCUAACAAGUUAGGUCAAGGUGUAACCUAUGUUCAAGAAAAAAUGUGUUACUAUAAAAACAAUUUAAGAAAGUUUUUUCAAAAAUUUUACAGAAAAAGGAUUUAAUAGUAAUUUAUAAAAAAUAUUUAUAAUCGACCCAGAUAAUAAUUGUGC
RNAcentral lists this ribosomal RNA (313 nucleotides) under Megadictyna sp. CG240. RNAcentral describes it as "partial 12S ribosomal RNA". Lineage: Eukaryota; Metazoa; Arthropoda; Arachnida; Araneae; Nicodamidae. The record is from RNAcentral.